UACGUAAGGACCGAGCGUUGUCCGGAAUCAUUGGGCGUAAAGAGCUCGUAGGUGGUUUGUCGCGUCGUCUGUGAAAUUCCGGGGCUUAACUCCGGGCGUGCAGGCGAUACGGGCAAACUGGAGUGCUGUAGGGGAGACUGGAAUUCCUGGUGUAGCGGUGGAAUGCGCAGAUAUCAGGAGGAACACCGGUGGCGAAGGCGGGUCUCUGGGCAGUAACUGACGCUGAGGAGCGAAAGCAUGGGGAGCGAACAGG
RNAcentral lists this ribosomal RNA (253 nucleotides) under uncultured bacterium. RNAcentral's name for it is "partial 16S ribosomal RNA". It matches the Rfam family "Bacterial small subunit ribosomal RNA", at positions 524 to 776 of the family's 1533-position model. The record is from RNAcentral.